AGAUGCAAUAUUUCACUCAGAUACAUUAGCCUACAUAGUUCCUUUAGGAACGAUCUCUGAUCCGAUCCCGUCGACCGUUCCUAUCACUAUCAGUCCCUAUAAAAGCUGCAAUAUGAAAAUACCACUCUUCCCCACCUCUGUAAGUCUUUUCUAAGGCUAUUAAUUUAUGGAAACAGCAGCCAGGGGUAAGAGAUCGGCCGCCAAAGGCAGUUCAUUCUAAAGGGCCUAACGACGAGAGGUACCCGCCCCAGAAAUUUUUUAAAAUUACAUUGUUGUAGAGAGUACUUUUCUGUUGGUUUAGAUACAAACUCAAAAGAUGAUUUUGUUGCCCAAAUCUCCUGAAAAACAUUAAAUUGGAUUUAAUGUCCUGCAUUCCUUCACAAACUAGACUAAUGAAGUGUGUGAGGGAAAAUUUGCCCGGACUGAGUCGUUGUCCCCUAUUCUUCAAGAUCCGGUGUUCGAUUUCAUUGUUGUCCGUGAAGGUUCCUCAGGAAUUUCCGGCAUGGUCUCCCAUUGUCAAUGGUGCAGGAUGGAGUGGACGAAAAAAUAUUGUUCCUUGUACACAUGUGACAUUGGCGUAGCCUACACAUAAAAGAACUGUGUUGAUGAAAUCGAAAUAGGCCUAAUAGUAAAAUUUUCCUCAUAGCCUCUGAUGGAGUAUCAAACCCUAGGCAUCCUGGUUAGUAAACCAGUCAAUGCCUUUAAUGCCUGAUCGAAUUAGUUCUAAAAACCUAUUUCCACACAUUUUUAUGUUUAUUUUCACAGAAAAAUUAGGACAAGAAAGAAAACGCGUAUUAACAUUCACUCCUGUAAGUGUAAAGCGAUUAGUGUCACCACGCUGGCAAAAAGCCGGGAACAAAUCAACUGCAAUACCACUGAAAUCAAGUCCAAAAAGAGCAUAACAUGGAUUGUGACUGUGUAGGACGUACCAGUUUUUAUCUGUUGCCAUUUUCAUCAGCUUUUUAUCCUGUUAUACAUUAGUUUUAGUCAGAGCCUUAUAUAGAGAGUCUGGCCAACCCGUGUCCCAAUUCUGAUUGGUUAAUGAUAGUCACGUGACAUGUGGACGCCAUUACGUUACCCUGUCAAAGAAUCGUCUGCUAUAGACAGUAGCCAGAAUUAUCUUUGAUUGUAGUAGAUUAUUUUACAUGAAUGGUCUGUUGUGUGGCCGUAAAAUGCCACACAAGAGAUGGGCAAGGAAUUGCAAAGCACAGAUUCCCGAAAAACACAGAAAGGCGGCGAUUGUGGGAGAUUAGGGUAAAAAGAAGCGGGUGGAAGCCCAGUAAACAUUCUUUCUUGUGUGAUAAACAUUUUGACGACACCCAAAAGGAGUUGGGACAACUAGAUGGAACCAAGCCACUAAAAUAUAACGCAGUUCCUAAUGUUUUCGACCAUAGUGUGCCUAAAAAAGUACGACCAGCUUCCAAAAGAUGUACCGCGAAUUCAAAAAACAUCGAACACUCCCACACUUCCCACUCCGAUCAUUCGUACGCUAGUACACGAAGGGUACAGAGAAGCGACAACUUGGAUGAAAAUGAAAAAAUACUGUUCGCAGCUGAAGAAGAAGCACUUUUCUCUCAAAUACCAGAAGCCGAAAUCGACCUGAAAGACAAACCACAAAAUACGACUGCAAACAAAUCUCCAAAGAAAAGAACGUCACGUAAAGAAACUCUUACACAGAAACUUCUCUGACAGAACAGUGUUUUACGGGACAAAUUACGCGAAUCUCUUCGUGAAAAGCGAAAAAUGGCACAGGAAAAAGCGAAUUUGAAUAACAGACUCACAACAAUUUUUUCUCUUAAUCAACUGAAAAAGCUGAGCCAAACGUCGUUUCGUGGUUCUAAAUGGUGUGAAGAGACAUAUCGAAAAGCAUUUCAGUUGAGAUUCACCUGUGGAACUACUGGGUAUGAGGAACUUUUGCGCCAGUCUCAACCUUUGCCAUCUUUGCGUUCACUAAGGUGCAAACUACAGGAUGUGAAGAUGGAACCAGGUGUACUAUAUGAAACUUUUGAACUACUGAAACUGAAAGUUGAAUCAUUUUCUGAGAAAGACCGAAACUGUGUACUAACUUUGGAUGAAACUGCUCUGAAGGCAGGAUAUCAGUACGAUAAAUUAGGCAGUUGUAUUCGUGGCAUUGAAACUAUUGUCAAAAGCGAUACACAUAAAUAUCGAAUAACACACCCUUGUGACCCGAACCGUUAUUUGUACUUUAUAUUUGAUGUCCCUCAUCUAACGAAAAACAUAAAGUGCGCAUUGGUGAACGGCAAGGAGUUCACAUUAUCCGAUGAAACUGUCGCAAAAUACGGACUGAAGUCUAACAUUGUCAGUCUUAAUGACAUAACGCAAUUGGUGGAAUUUCAGCUCAAUGAUGACUUGAAAAUAACACCAAAUCUGCAGACGGAGAAGCUGAUGGGCUCACAUUUUGAUAAAAUGAAGGUUUCUACGGCACUGAACUUUUUUAGUAAAUCAGUGGCAGCCGGUCUACGGUACCUUGUAGAAUUUGCCGGUGGAAGCAACUGUCUUCUAACCACCCAGUUAUGGCUCUCAGCCUCAAUAACCCAGAGGCAUACAACAGUGCUAUCAAUCAUUUGCUUGAAACUAUUACUAUUUUCAAAGGAUUAAAAGCUGGUAAAAACUGGAAACCAUGGCAAGACAGGUGUGAUUUUAUCAACGACAACAGUUUUUGAUCUUCAAGCAGAUUAUUUACAGAGAGGUCAUAUGUUCCUUCUCACGGGAAGGCUCACUCAGGAUUGUCUUGAGAAUUUGUUUGGAUGCAUUCGCUAUAAAAAUCCUACGCCCGAUGCCUUAGAAUUCAGACAAGCGCUCAAAACAGUGUCAGUUGCUCAGUAUAUGAAGUGCCCUACCACCGGCUCUUACUUGGAAGACGACAGGACCUUUUUGGCCGAUUACAUGCAACGUGAUUUUCAAGAGCAACAAAAAGAUGGGGAAGACCAGCUCAAUAUUUCGGGUGUACUGGAAUUGGAUUUGAACAAACAAGAGGAAUCAGCAUUGUUUCACUUGGCGGGAUACUGUUUGUUCUCGGUCAGAAAACACGGUAGAGUCUGUGACAACUGUGUGUUAGACUUAGAGGAUAAAAGUAAAGCUGUGAGUUCAGGACACAUUGAAGCUUUAACGCGCUUGAAAGAGUUCAUUCCUGGUACUCCACACCUAACUUACUGUUCAGACAAAGCCAUGGAAAUUAUACAGACUGCGGAGGCUGUAUUUCGUGCGAACGAGAAGAAACUGCAUGGAAACAAGUUGGUGGACCGAUUGCGCGAACUAACAGUGACAGCUUGCAGUGAUGAAAUAAAAACAUGUCAUGAAAUCAGAGACAAAUUUCUCAUGAAGUUUUUCACAGUUCGUCUGAAGAUACAUGCGAACAAGCUCAAUACAAUUUUAAAGUCUGAAAAACAGAAGAAGAAAGAACUAGAAGAAACUGCAAUGGCCAGCAAAUCUGUCAAAAUGAGGCAGAUGGUAAAAUCCCUGAAGUAGUUUAAGUCAUUACAUAAUAGUGAGAGUUAUUGAUAUUUUAGAGGUGUAAAUUCUCUCUUCGGAUAUAACAGACUUCGAAUGAUUCUUCAAUUCUUUAAUAUAUGCAUAAAUGAUUAAACAAUAUAAUAAAUCAACAAAAACAAUAGAUGGGAUUAACGUCGUUACCCAAUGAUGGCUUGAAAAGUGGUGACAGGUUAACGACUUACUAGCCAGUUGAUCUUAACGUGUUUAAUUUAAGAAACAUUAAUUAUAUUCGCGAUUGGAAGAUUAUCACACCAUUA
Patella vulgata (common limpet) is the source of this 3770-nucleotide long non-coding RNA. RefSeq lists it as uncharacterized. Lineage: Eukaryota; Metazoa; Mollusca; Gastropoda; Patellidae. The record is from RefSeq and is a predicted model, not a curated record. The transcript is spliced from 3 exons.